RNAcentral lists this long non-coding RNA (1274 nucleotides) under Hordeum vulgare. Its description in RNAcentral is "long non-coding RNA (HVUL_LNC005579)". The record is from RNAcentral. Lineage: Eukaryota; Viridiplantae; Streptophyta; Magnoliopsida; Poales; Poaceae.
UAUAUAGCGACACACAAUGGAGUCUAGUGUAGGACGUGUAAUAUCUGUUCCUCAGCUCAAAUGCAUCAUAAUGAACAGUAAAACGAAAGGAAAUAACAAAAAAAUAUUUUUUAUGAUAAACUUUGACAAUUUUUUGUAUUAUUGCACAAUUUCAACACGAAAUGACGAUUCGUGGAAGUCGUGGCAAAAGAACCAAUACUCAAAAAAUGCUAGUUUUGAAAACAUUUUGGAGUGCUGAUUUUCUUUUACGAAUUCCACGAAUGUUAUUUCGUGCUUACAUUUUGCAAGCAUACGAAACAAUUUCCAAAGCUUACCAUUAAAAUAUUCAUAUUUUUUGAAAAAAUGCUUUGGUUUUACUGUUCAUCACAGUGCAUUUGAGCUCAUGAUGAGAAUAAGACUUCCACUCUAGUGUAUUUCUUUUCUUUUUGAGAAAAACAGUGCAAUGUAUUUUUCUUUUAAGCACCUCUAAAUUCAUUAACCAAAGUCUAAGAGCAUCUACAGCCGGACAUAACAAAUAUGACCCCCUAAAUGUCCGUAAACGAAUGCGGUCAGUGACCGAACAUGUUCCUAUUUGUCGGUCCAUACAGCCACACUCCUCAUUUUAUUCCUCAUAUGUCUGUUAUUCGCACGUGAUUGGUGCAGUGGAAGAGAGAGAAAAAAAAGAAUUAAUAAACAAAAGAAAAGGUGGUGUCGUAUGGGGUCGCGUCCUAUGUGGCGGACACAACGGGCGCGUCCGCGAGCCCUCAUAUACUCCUCAUAUUUGAGAUGGAUAUGAGGGUUCGCGGACAGUCCGAACGUAUAGGGAUGAUAUGACGAGUCGAGUUGGAUCACUUUUUUCCUUCUCUCCCCUAUCCGAUCAUUGACCAGGCGCGUCCGUGGACGUAUAAGGGGUUAUUUAAGGGGUCCGGAUGUAGAUGCUCUAAUACUGCAAAGCACGCCUAAAAAUGUAAAAUGAAAUACAUCUAAACCAUUGAGGAAUGUUUGGUCUUCUACCUUUGGAACGAGUUGAUGCCGCUGACGUUCUACUUUAGGAGGAGUGCUAAGAGGGUCUCUAGCAGACCAUGUAUAAUGUCCCGAUCUAUAAAAUAAUGAUCAAAAUACGGGUUCGCGUGAAAAAAGUUGCCCGAUCAAACACCGCAAACGUGUUAGACUCGUAAAUAUUUUUGCGGGGCACGGAAAAAUUCCCAUCCCAAACCAUGAAAAACAGAUUCUCCCCCUCGCCCCAUCGGUGUCAUGUAUAUAGAGAGAGUGGUUGUCGGGUGGGACAUUUCAGC